This is a non-coding RNA of Vicia faba (fava bean), 210 nucleotides long. The record is from the annotation of a GenBank genome assembly. Lineage: Eukaryota; Viridiplantae; Streptophyta; Magnoliopsida; Fabales; Fabaceae.
AUGCAGAUCAAUUAUUCAAGGCUUAUGCAAAAUUUGCAAAAGACCACAGCAUUUCAUUCUUCUGUUACCACCACUACAAUUCAUUAUUUAUCAGACAGAAUGUUCAACUUCAAAAAAAGCAACACUGCAUACAAAGUUGCAGGCCUAACACUAACUAUGAAAACUUGCCAGACAUUUUGCUCAGUCUUUUCAGAAACUACUACUAUGUAG